Molecule: ribosomal RNA, 462 nt
Filed under: uncultured bacterium
Lineage: Bacteria
Description: partial 16S ribosomal RNA
Rfam family: Bacterial small subunit ribosomal RNA
Source: RNAcentral
GACGAACGCUGGCGGCGUGCUUAACACAUGCAAGUCGAACGGAAAGGCCCUUCGGGGUACUCGAGUGGCGAACGGGUGAGUAACACGUGGGUGAUCUGCCCUGCACUUUGGGAUAAGCCUGGGAAACUGGGUCUAAUACCGAAUAGGACCACGCGCUUCAUGGUGUGUGGUGGAAAGCUUUUGCGGUGUGGGAUGGACCCGCGGCCUAUCAGCUUGUUGGUGGGGUAAUGGCCUACCAAGGCGACGACGGGUAGCCGGCCUGAGAGGGUGACCGGCCACACUGGGACUGAGAUACGGCCCAGACUCCUACGGGAGGCAGCAGUGGGGAAUAUUGCACAAUGGGCGCAAGCCUGAUGCAGCGACGCCGCGUGAGGGAUGACGGCCUUCGGGUUGUAAACCUCUUUCAAUAGGGACGAAGCGCAAGUGACGGUACCUAGAGAAGAAGCACCGGCCAACUACGUG